Molecule: long non-coding RNA, 287 nt
Organism: Carassius carassius (crucian carp)
Lineage: Eukaryota; Metazoa; Chordata; Actinopteri; Cypriniformes; Cyprinidae
Exons: 2
Source: RefSeq, a predicted model, not a curated record
AGGUUAAUCUAACGUUAUCAUACUGAUCAUGCUAACUCUCUCUUUAUAUCUUCCAGGAACCUUAGGAUUCACAACUGAUGCCGACGUGAUAACAACCUCCACCCUCCCCACCACCACCAGGAUGGUCCUGUCCUUACCUUCCAGGGGGGGUCGGCUGCGCCCCUGCCUUCGUCUUCAGGCAGGAAAUGCAGGUUCGCUACCCUCGGAUUACGAACCAUGGACGGGGCCUUCCGCCAAAGAAAUUUAUAAUUAUGCUUGCUGAGUUGUCAAUAAAUGUAUGCUUCGUA